UUACGGCCAUAUCAUGUUGAGACACCGGUUCCCAUCUGAUCACUGAAGUUAAGCAAUGCUGAUCCUGUUCAGUGUCUAGCAGGGUGACCGUUUGGGAUACCAGCUGCUGUAAG
Molecule: non-coding RNA, 113 nt
Organism: Acanthosepion pharaonis
Lineage: Eukaryota; Metazoa; Mollusca; Cephalopoda; Sepiida; Sepiidae
Source: the annotation of a GenBank genome assembly